RNAcentral lists this transfer RNA (63 nucleotides) under Tropilaelaps mercedesae. Its description in RNAcentral is "tRNA-Phe". The record is from RNAcentral. Lineage: Eukaryota; Metazoa; Arthropoda; Arachnida; Mesostigmata; Laelapidae.
AUUUUUAUAGUUUAUAUUCUAAAACAUGACACUGAAAAUGUCAAAAAAUUAAUUUUAAAAAUA